AUGGAGUACGCCUCCCGCACAGCCGAGUGGCGCAUCCACCCGUGGGCGGACGGCAUCCACAUGCCUGCGCAUGCGCAGAGCAUGCGACCGAUGCUCGCUGCCGCGGCCGGGCUCAUCUUUUGGAGAUAUGACCGGAACUCCUCGCUCCUGCUCGAUACAAGCACCAUGGCAUUCUCCUUCUCCAUCGUCCCUCUCCCAGUUACAAUAGCGACGCACACGAUGAUGCCGCCGGGAGCAUACGCCAUCGGAGACACCGAGGCCGGUGUGUGUUGCCUUUUGCUUAUGGUCGGCAGGACUACGCUGCAAGUCUGGCUACUCAAGAAGAAGGACGGCGGCGGCGGGCAUGCGUGGGAGUUGGAGAAGCAAAGCCAUAUAGGCUGGCUGGACAGCUUCAACCGGCGGUUUGGUGUCCAUAUGGUGGCUGCUGGGCUCGCAAUUGUUUACUGCAUGAGUUGCAAGUAUUCUCACUUUGUCAUUGAUCUCAAGGACCUGAGCCUCAAGGAUAAGUUCCGUUGUCAUCGAACCAUGGCGUACCCUUUCCAAAUGCCAUGGCCACCUGCUGCGUUGGUGCCUACUUCUCCGUGCGAACGGCCCACCACACCCCAAACAUAUGCAUGCCGAGAUGCUGAAAAUCAACACGAAGCACCUUCUUCUAGUAGGAAGCGCAAGAGCAAUGAUGAAAUGGAGCCAUGUAUUUCCCCAGCUUCUUUGAAGAAUGAAUUCAUCAGAUAA
Molecule: ribosomal RNA, 732 nt
Filed under: Triticum aestivum (bread wheat)
Lineage: Eukaryota; Viridiplantae; Streptophyta; Magnoliopsida; Poales; Poaceae
Description: partial small subunit ribosomal RNA
Source: RNAcentral